Molecule: long non-coding RNA, 650 nt
Organism: Lutra lutra (Eurasian river otter)
Lineage: Eukaryota; Metazoa; Chordata; Mammalia; Carnivora; Mustelidae
Exons: 3
Source: RefSeq, a predicted model, not a curated record
ACCUUCGGCGCCUAGGAUCGCCGCACAGUCCUCCAUCGGCUUGCCUACGCCACAGUCGCCCCUGCCCCCGCUUCGCCUUCCUGUCAGCCUAGGCUCGGAGGUGGGACCCGCGGGCUGUGCUCGGGGUUCGACGGCUCGCGACCAGAUCCUGUACUGUUGGGAAAAUGCUAUAAAAGGACAUUAUUGGCUCAACUGACAAGAUUGGAAUAUAUAUGAAACUUAGAUACAGGAGAAUCAAAACCGGAAGUUCAUCCCUGGCCCUCCUGCUUUCUGGUCUUUGGCAAGCAGCAAUUUCUCAGUCAACGCGAACUACUCAGUCAUCCUGUAGUCCAGAUUUAUAUUCAGUAAAUCCACUCCAACCAGGAGAUUGUUGCCCAGAGGACCAGCAGCAGCAGCAGCAGCAGCAGCAGCAGCAGCAGUGGCAACAGCAUUCUGAUAAAAACCACUGGGGGUCCAAAGAAAAUCAAGAAAGAGGAGGUUCUCAACCCUUGUCUGGGAGUACAAAUGAGAGGGGGACUUCUCUGGUUUUCCCUCACUCACCCCGGGGGACCAUCCAUAAGUAACCAGGCAGGCAGCCAAGUACUGAAGGUACAACUCAGUCCAGCUCAUAGCACAAACUCUGGGGAAGUGCACAGAGUUCGCGAGAGGGC